This 253-nucleotide ribosomal RNA is filed under the name uncultured bacterium. RNAcentral's name for it is "partial 16S ribosomal RNA". It matches the Rfam family "Bacterial small subunit ribosomal RNA", at positions 524 to 776 of the family's 1533-position model. The record is from RNAcentral.
UACGUAGGGUGCGAGCGUUGUCCGGAAUUACUGGGCGUAAAGAGCUCGUAGGUGGUUUGUCGCGUUGUUCGUGAAAACUCACAGCUCAACUGUGGGCGUGCGGGCGAUACGGGCAGACUGGAGUACUGCAGGGGAGACUGGAAUUCCUGGUGUAGCGGUGGAAUGCGCAGAUAUCAGGAGGAACACCGGUGGCGAAGGCGGGUCUCUGGGCAGUAACUGACGCUGAGGCGCGAAAGCUAGGGGAGCGAACAGG